RNAcentral lists this long non-coding RNA (390 nucleotides) under Trifolium pratense (red clover). RNAcentral's name for it is "long non-coding RNA (TPRA_LNC007633)". Lineage: Eukaryota; Viridiplantae; Streptophyta; Magnoliopsida; Fabales; Fabaceae. The record is from RNAcentral.
UUAGUUGAAUUUGAAUUUGAAUCUAUUGUAACUGCGAGAACGCGAAGGGUUUGUGAAGGGUUUCGAGAUUUGGAGUUUUUGAUAAGAAUUUGGAUAGGGAAAGGAGAAAGGGAAGAUGAGAAAGAGAAGUUAGUGUGUGGUGAUGAACAGGGUUUUGAGGAGAGUGAAAAUGAGGAAGAAAGUUCCAUUGUUAAAUUGGAAGUAGUAACUGAAUUGUGUUGGGAAAUGGUGUAUGAAGAUUAAUGUGAUUGAUUUGUGGAUUUUUGUAUUGGUUUUGACACCAUAGAUGAAGGGGUUUGGGUGUUGUUUUGCAGGGUUUUGGACACUCGCAUGGUUGGAUAAGGUGAGGCGAAAUGUGCCCCUUUGUUGGGAUGAACAAUUGGAUAUUUG